UCAAUAAGCGGAGGAAAAGAAACUAACAAGGAUUCCCCUAGUAACGGCGAGUGAAGCGGGAACAGCUCAAAUUUGUAAUCUGGCGGCCUUCGGUUGUCCGAGUUGUAAUCUGGAGAAGCGUUUUCAGUGCCGGCCCGCGUACAAGUCCCCUGGAACGGGGCGUCGCAGAGGGUGAGAAUCCCGUCUCUGACGCGGUCAUGCCGGCGCGCUGCGAUGCGCUCUCGAAGAGUCGAGUUGUUUGGGAAUGCAGCUCAAAACGGGUGGUAAAUUCCAUCUAAAGCUAAAUACUGGCGAAAGACCGAUAGCGAACAAGUACCGUGAGGGAAAGAUGAAAAGCACUUUGGAAAGAGAGUCAAACAGUACGUGAAAUUGUUGAAAGGGAAACGCUUGAAGUCAGUCGCGUCUCCCGGGACUUCAGUCGCGCUCUCAAAGGCGCGGCGUACUUCCCGGGUCUGGACGGGCCAGCGUCGAUUUCGACCGUCGUACAAAGGCGUGAGGAACGUGGCACCUCGGGGUGUGUUAUAGCCUCGCGUUCCGUAUGCGACGGUGGGGAUCGAGGGACGCAGCGCGCCUCUAACGGUCGGGUUCGCCCACGUAACGCGCUUGGGAUGCUUGGCUUAAUGGCUUUAA
This 630-nucleotide ribosomal RNA is filed under the name Phallus hadriani. RNAcentral describes it as "eukaryotic LSU rRNA". It matches the Rfam family "Eukaryotic large subunit ribosomal RNA", at positions 43 to 643 of the family's 3401-position model. The record is from RNAcentral. Lineage: Eukaryota; Fungi; Basidiomycota; Agaricomycetes; Phallales; Phallaceae.